RNAcentral lists this ribosomal RNA (406 nucleotides) under uncultured bacterium. RNAcentral's name for it is "partial 16S ribosomal RNA". It matches the Rfam family "Bacterial small subunit ribosomal RNA", at positions 28 to 526 of the family's 1533-position model. The record is from RNAcentral.
GACGAACGCUGGCGGCAGGCUUAACACAUGCAAGUCGAGCGAGCGGCGGACGGGUGAGUAAUGUCUGGGAAACUGCCUGAUGGAGGGGGAUAACUACUGGAAACGGUAGCUAAUACCGCAUACCAUCAGAUGUGCCCAGAUGGGAUUAGCUAGUAGGUGGGGUAAUGGCUCACCUAGGCGACGAUCCCUAGCUGGUCUGAGAGGAUGACCAACCACACUGGAACUGGGACACGGUCCAGCCUCCGACGGGAGGCAGCAGUGGGGAAUAUGGCACAAUGGGCGGAAGCCUGAUGCAGCCAUGCCGCGGGUGGGAAGAAGGCCUUCGGGGUGUAAAGCACUUUCAGCGAGGAGGCGUUACUCGCAGAAGAAGCACCGGCUAACUCCGUGCCAGCAGCCGCGGUAAUUC